UGGGGAAUCUUCCACAAUGGGCGCAAGCCUGAUGGAGCAACACCGCGUGAGUGAAGAAGGGUUUCGGCUCGUAAAGCUCUGUUGUUAAAGAAGAACACGUAUGAGAGUAACUGUUCAUACGUUGACGGUAUUUAACCAGAAAGUCACGGCUAACUACGUGCCCG
RNAcentral lists this ribosomal RNA (164 nucleotides) under uncultured bacterium. RNAcentral's name for it is "partial 16S rRNA". It matches the Rfam family "Bacterial small subunit ribosomal RNA", at positions 355 to 511 of the family's 1533-position model. The record is from RNAcentral.